GCGAUCAUACUAGCACUAAUGCACCGGAUCCCAUCAGAACUCCGAAGUUAAGUGUGCUUGGGCGAGAGUAGUACUAGGAUGGGUGACCUCCUGGGAAGUCCUCGUGUUGCACCCC
Molecule: ribosomal RNA, 115 nt
Filed under: Spirodela intermedia
Lineage: Eukaryota; Viridiplantae; Streptophyta; Magnoliopsida; Alismatales; Araceae
Source: RNAcentral